This 422-nucleotide ribosomal RNA is filed under the name uncultured Lachnospiraceae bacterium. RNAcentral describes it as "bacterial SSU rRNA". It matches the Rfam family "Bacterial small subunit ribosomal RNA", at positions 355 to 794 of the family's 1533-position model. The record is from RNAcentral. Lineage: Bacteria; Bacillati; Bacillota; Clostridia; Lachnospirales; Lachnospiraceae.
UGGGGGAUAUUGCACAAUGGGGGAAACCCUGAUGCAGCGACGCCGCGUGAGUGAAGAAGUAUUUCGGUAUGUAAAGCUCUAUCAGCAGGGAAGAAAAUGACAGUACCUGACUAAGAAGCCCCGGCUAACUACGUGCCAGCAGCCGCGGUAAUACGUAGGGGGCAAGCGUUAUCCGGAUUUACUGGGUGUAAAGGGAGCGUAGGUGGCAUAGCAAGUCAGAAGUGAAAACCAGGGGCUCAACUCCUGGACUGCUUUUGAAACUGCCAGGCUAGAGUGCUGGAGAGGUAAGCGGAAUUCCUAGUGUAGCGGUGAAAUGCGUAGAUAUUAGGAGGAACACCGGUGGCGAAGGCGGCUUACUGGACAGUAACUGACACUGAGGCUCGAAAGCGUGGGGAGCAAACAGGAUUAGAUACCCUGGUAGU